GAUGAACGCUGGCGGCGUGCCUAAUACAUGCAAGUCGAGCAAACAGAUGAGGAGCUUGCUCCUCUGACGUUAGCGGCGGACGGGUGAGUAACACGUGGAUAACCUACCUAUAAGACUGGGAUAACUUCGGGAAACCGGAGCUAAUACCGGAUAAUAUAUUGAACCGCAUGGUUCAAUAGUGAAAGACGGUUUUGCUGUCACUUAUAGAUGGAUCCGCGCCGCAUUAGCUAGUUGGUAAGGUAACGGCUUACCAAGGCAACGAUGCGUAGCCGACCUGAGAGGGUGAUCGGCCACACUGGAGCUGAGACACGGUCCAGACUCCUACGGGAGGCAGCAGUAGGGAAUCUUCCGCAAUGGGCGAAAGCCUGACGGAGCAACGCCGCGUGAGUGAUGAAGGUCUUCGGAUCGUAAAACUCUGUUAUUAGGGAAGAACAAAUGUGUAAGUAACUAUGCACGUCUUGACGGUACCUAAUCAGAAAGCCACGGCUAACUACGUG
RNAcentral lists this ribosomal RNA (497 nucleotides) under uncultured bacterium. RNAcentral describes it as "partial 16S ribosomal RNA". It matches the Rfam family "Bacterial small subunit ribosomal RNA", at positions 28 to 507 of the family's 1533-position model. The record is from RNAcentral.